RNAcentral lists this unclassified non-coding RNA (112 nucleotides) under Chryseobacterium profundimaris. Its description in RNAcentral is "Flavo-1 RNA". Lineage: Bacteria; Pseudomonadati; Bacteroidota; Flavobacteriia; Flavobacteriales; Weeksellaceae. The record is from RNAcentral.
AUCUAGCCCGGAUCGAGCGGCCUGUCUGAGCUCUUUUCCUGAAUUAGGUUGCGGCGGCUGCGCCGCCGCAACCUAAUUCAGGAAAAAGCGAGUAGCGAGAGCCGGAAAUAGC